AAAGCGUGGGGAGCGAACAGGAUUAGAUACCCUGGUAGUCCACGCGGUAAACGAUGAGUGCUAAGUGUUAGAGGGUUUCCGCCCUUUAGUGCUGCAGCAAACGCAUUAAGCACUCCGCCUGGGGAGUACGGUCGCAAGACUGAAACUCAAAGGAAUUGACGGGGGCCCGCACAAGCGGUGGAGCAUGUGGUUUAAUUCGAAGCAACGCGAAGAACCUUACCAGGUCUUGACAUCCUUUGACAACCCUAGAGAUAGGGCUUCCCCUUCGGGGGCAGAGUGACAGGUGGUGCAUGGUCGUCGUCAGCUCGGGUCGUGAGAUGUUGGGUUAAGUCCCGCAACGAGCGCAACCCUUGAUCUUAGUUGCCAGCAUUCAGUUGGGCACUCUAAGGUGACUG
This 395-nucleotide ribosomal RNA is filed under the name Bacillus licheniformis. Its description in RNAcentral is "bacterial SSU rRNA". It matches the Rfam family "Bacterial small subunit ribosomal RNA", at positions 756 to 1151 of the family's 1533-position model. Lineage: Bacteria; Bacillati; Bacillota; Bacilli; Caryophanales; Bacillaceae. The record is from RNAcentral.